CUAUCUGCAGUCGAGGGGCAUCGCAGGUAGCAAUACUGGGCGGCGACCGGCAAACGGGUGCGGAACACGUACGUAACCUUCCUUUAAGUGGGAGAUAGCCCGAAGAAAUUCGGAUUAAUACCCCAUAAGAUCAUAGAGUGGCAUCACUUAGUGAUUAAAGAAUUUCGCUUAAAGAUGGGCGUGCGGCUGAUUAGGUAGUUGGUGAGGUAACGGCUCACCAAGCCAACGAUCAGUAACUGGCGUGAGAGCGCGACCAGUCACACGGGCACUGAGACACGGGCCCGACUCCUACGGGAGGCAGCAGUAAGGAAUAUUGGUCAAUGGACGGAAGUCUGAACCAGCCAUGCCGCGUGAAGGAUGAAGGUCCUCUGGAUUGUAAACUUCUUUUAUAUGGGAAGAAACCACUUCUAUCUAAAGGUGUUGACGGUACCAUAGGAAUAAGCACCGGCUAACUCCGUGCCAGCAGCCGCGGUAAUACGGAGGGUGCAAGCGUUAUCCGGAUUCACUGGGUUUAAAGGGUGCGUAGGCGGAUUGGUAAGUCCGUGGUGAAAUCUCCGAGCUUAACUCGGAAACUGCCAUGGAUACUAUUAGUCUUGAAUAUUGUGGAGGUUAGCGGAAUAUGUCAUGUAGCGGUGAAAUGCAUAGAUAUGACAUAGAACACCAAUUGCGAAGGCAGCUGGCUACACAAAUAUUGACGCUGAUGCACGAAAGCGUGGGGAUCAAACAGGAUUAGAUACCCUGGUAGUCCACGCCCUAAACGAUGAUUACUCGACAUUUGCGAUAUACAGUAAGUGUCUGAGCGAAAGCAUUAAGUAAUCCACCUGGGAAGUACGACCGCAAGGUUGAAACU
This 850-nucleotide ribosomal RNA is filed under the name uncultured bacterium. Its description in RNAcentral is "bacterial SSU rRNA". It matches the Rfam family "Bacterial small subunit ribosomal RNA", at positions 51 to 901 of the family's 1533-position model. The record is from RNAcentral.